AGUGAGCGCUGGCGGUAGGCCUAACACAUGCAAGUCGAACGGCAGCACAGUAAGAGCUUGCUCUUACGGGUGGCGAGUGGCGGACGGGUGAGGAAUACAUCGGAAUCUACUUUUUCGUGGGGGAUAACGUAGGGAAACUUACGCUAAUACCGCAUACGACCUACGGGUGAAAGCAGGGGAUCUUCGGACCUUGCGCGAUUGAAUGAGCCGAUGUCGGAUUAGCUAGUUGGCGGGGUAAAGGCCCACCAAGGCGACGAUCCGUAGCUGGUCUGAGAGGAUGAUCAGCCACACUGGAACUGAGACACGGUCCAGACUCCUACGGGAGGCAGCAGUGGGGAAUAUUGGACAAUGGGCGCAAGCCUGAUCCAGCCAUACCGCGUGGGUGAAGAAGGCCUUCGGGUUGUAAAGCCCUUUUGUUGGGAAAGAAAAGCGGCAGGUUAAUACCCCGCUGUUCUGACGGUACCCAAAGAAUAAGCACCGGCUAACUUCGUG
RNAcentral lists this ribosomal RNA (492 nucleotides) under uncultured bacterium. Its description in RNAcentral is "partial 16S ribosomal RNA". It matches the Rfam family "Bacterial small subunit ribosomal RNA", at positions 29 to 507 of the family's 1533-position model. The record is from RNAcentral.